GAUCAUGGCUCAGGACGAACGCUGGCGGCGUGCUUAAUACAUGCAAGUCGAACGAAGCUGCUUGACGGAAAUCCUUCGGGAGGAAGACGAGUAGACUUAGUGGCGGACGGGUGAGUAACGCGUGAGCAAUCUGCCCAUAAGAGGGGGACAACAGUUGGAAACGACUGCUAAUACCGCAUAAGACCACAUUACCGCAUGGUAGAGGGGUCAAAGAGAUAUCGCUUAUGG
RNAcentral lists this ribosomal RNA (228 nucleotides) under uncultured bacterium. RNAcentral describes it as "partial 16S ribosomal RNA". It matches the Rfam family "Bacterial small subunit ribosomal RNA", at positions 15 to 224 of the family's 1533-position model. The record is from RNAcentral.